This 253-nucleotide ribosomal RNA is filed under the name uncultured bacterium. RNAcentral's name for it is "partial 16S ribosomal RNA". It matches the Rfam family "Bacterial small subunit ribosomal RNA", at positions 524 to 776 of the family's 1533-position model. The record is from RNAcentral.
GACAGAGGGUGCGAACGUUGUUCGGAAUUACUGGGCGUAAAGCGCGUGUAGGCGGUGAGGCAAGUCGGAUGUGAAAGCCCAGGGCUCAACCCUGGAAGUGCACUCGAUACUGCCUUGCUGGAGUCCCGGAGAGGAUGGUGGAACUCUCGGUGUAGAGGUGAAAUUCGUAGAUAUCGAGAAGAACACCGGUGGCGAAGGCGGCCAUCCGGACGGUGACUGACGCUGAGACGCGAAAGCGUGGGGAGCAAACAGG